This 6954-nucleotide long non-coding RNA is filed under the name Medicago truncatula (barrel medic). RNAcentral's name for it is "long non-coding RNA (MTRU_LNC006031)". The record is from RNAcentral. Lineage: Eukaryota; Viridiplantae; Streptophyta; Magnoliopsida; Fabales; Fabaceae.
AACAAAAACGGACAUUGCUUUUUCAAAUCAAAAUCCAAAUACAUUGAACCAACCAACCAAUUACACCCUUUCUUUCUUCCCCUUUUUCUCACUAGUCACCUACCAAAUCAAGAUCCCAAAACUUCUUAUAUAUUCAUACAACCACCUCAAUUCCAUCACUACAAAAUUGAAGGACGUAACAAUAUAUUCAUUCUUACACUAAUACAUAUUUUUGUGCACUAAGUUUUCUAUUCUACCAUGGUUGUGACUUCACAAACAUUAGAAAUUACGGUUAUAUCUGGUGAAAAUAUUCAUGUAACGGAGGAUGCAUACGUUGUUGUUCGAGGUGAGUCUCUUAAUUGUUACACAACAAAAACGGUGAAAGAUAAUGAUAAUUGUGGGAAAAACUCGAGUUUUCUUUCAUGGAAUGAGAAGUUUUUGUUGAACAUGCCAUUGCAUGCAAGGUCAAUCACUUUUGAGGUGCAAUGCAAGAAGUUUAAAAGUGUACGUCCUAUUGGGGUGGCAAGAAUUGCUCUUUCGGAUUUUCUCAAUGGCAUCGCGCCGGAAAAUUGUUUGCAAAUUUUGAGUUAUAAAUUGAGGAACUGGGAAGGGAGGCAAAAUGGAGUUAUUCAUUUCAGUGUGAGGGUGGUUGUGCCGGAGAAAACAUCGGCUACCGUGGCGGUUGAAAAGCAGACUGUCGCGGAUGGAAAGAAUUAUGGUGGUCGGUUAACUGGAAUGGAUGUUGGUACCAAGGACUCUAAUGGUGUUGCUAUUGGUAUUCCGUUUUGGUGGAAUUACCCAAACAUUAUUUAAAUAUUUAUAUUUAUAUUAUUUGAUUUUUUGCAUUCUUGUCAAAGAUUAAUGAAGUCAAUUUUGAUGCACAAUAUAUUAUUGUGAUACAUACAAGUGUAAAAUAUCAUUUCAACAAAUAAACUUAAUGAUCAAUCUAAGAUUCAACUUAGAUCUUAUAGAUUCUAAGUUGAUAGAUUUAAUGUUUAAAGUUGAUGUUUGCGGUCCAAGAUAUGUGCGCCUGUGAAUAUAAGUUGCAUAAAUGCAAGGAAAAAAAAAAGUAAGUAUAAGAAGCAUAAAAGUACCUUGGCUUGGCAUAGUUGGGGUCGAAUCUCGAGACCAUUUCUUGCAAUUCAUUAAUUAUUCAGGUGGUUUGAGAUCGCAACGCUCGUUUUUUCACCUUAUAUGGCUCUUAUGUGUUUGGGUGUUGUGGAAUGAGCGGAAUUAAUGAUAGAGUUUUCAGGAAUAAACAAAGCUCACUAUCGCAUAUGUUAGAUAAAGUAAAAUCAUAUUACAUGUGGUGGUUGAAAGCUAGUAACGUUGUUUCUAGUUUUGGUACUCAUAACUGGUGGUCGAACCCGCUCUUAUGUAUGAGUAUCGACUGACUAUUUUGUAAUACUGACUAGACUGUGUUUCUUUUCGUGAUUGUUUAGGCACAACUUAUGCUGCAACAAUUACGCUUUCGAUGUUAAUAUAUUUCAUUUUUACUUGUAAAAAAAAUAGUAAAAGGAAAUGGUGUAUAUUAUUAUAAGUAGUAUCGUUCAAACGUUUGUUUUUUGUAUUGUACUGCUAACACGUGUAAAUUAUGAAUAAUAUUUUUUAAGGUGAGAGAAAUACCACAAAGAGAAUAUGAUGUUACUAUGCAUUUUCAACCCUACUAUAUGAAAACCAAAUCGACACUUAUAUUUUGUCCGAAAAUAGUGGUGAUUUAUAAGGUGAGUGCUUGUUGCUUUCCUUCCAUAUUUAUUAGAUUUUUUUUUACUACAUGUAAGUAGAUUAUUAUAAAGAAUAUACGAAAUAUAGUGCAUGGUUUUAUAUUUUUAGAAAUGAUUGUUUGAGAUGAAAACGUUGGAAGAGGGUUUGAGCAAUGGGAUUUGAUUUGAUAAGAAUAUUUUCGGAAUACUAGGAAGGAAGAAGCAACUUAAUCAAAUCCCAUUGCUCAAACCCUCUUCCAACGUUUUCAUCUCAAACAAUCAUUUCUAAAAAUAUAAAACCAUGCACUAUAUUUCGUAUAUUCUUAAUAAUAAUCUACUUACCUGUAGUAAAAAAAAAAAAAAGAACUUCUAUGGUACACCCACAAUUUUGAGUGUACCGGUACUCUUGUUGCACAAAAUUUAUAAAUUAACGAUCACUUUAAUGAAAUAAAAAGGUAUUUGUCAAUAUUUAUAUUUUAGAAAACAUCAUUUCAUAAGAAAAACCAUCAUUUCAUUAUUUAUAAGGAUUAUAUUAAAAAAAAAAAAUUACAUUUUGUCAUAAAAAAUAAUCAAUAUUCAUUGUUAUGAGUAAUAAAAUUUCUUAAAAAUUAAAUUUUAUUUCGUCGAAGCUUUUGGUAAAUAAAAUUUAAUUAUCUUAGUUGUCAAUGAUAGAAAAUAAUUAUUUUUCUUCAAAAAAACAACUGAUUUAUUAUUAAUUUUACGACUUGAUGUACCGAUACACCCAAAUUCAAUGGGUGUACCAUAGAAUUUGUCUUAUGUAAAUGUUAUGUAAAUAAUUCAAUUAUUAUCUUUAAGGGAAAUUUUUAAUUCUUCUUUUUUGAGAGGAAGGUAAAAAUGUGUUCAUGAAAUUACCAAUGUCGACAAACAAUAAUAUGUAACAAAUUUCCAUACAAUUAAUUAAUAACAUAAACAGCGCAUGCAUGCAUGCCAACCGCGGAAUUUGUCUGCAACUAAUACAAAGUCAAAGUCUUCAACGAAAACGUAUAUUUUGCUUUUUCAAACCAAAUUUCAAUUACAUUGAAACCACAAACCAAUUACACUCGUAUUUCUCUCCCUCUUUCUCAUCACUUUCCAUAUCAAAAUCCCAAACCUUAAGCUUAUUAUAUAUUUACACAACUUAUAACAUAACACCUCAAUUCACUCACAAUAAACUUGAAGGACAUAACAAUAUCCAUUCAUUCUUACACCAGCUAACAGGAAGUUUUAUUCACAACUAACAUUAAAUUCUCUACUAUGGGUGUAGCCUCACGCACAUUAGAAAUCACGGUUAUAUCCGGCGAAAAUAUUCAUGUAACCGAAGAUGCAUACGUUGUCGUUCGAGGUGAGUCUCUUAAUUGUUACACAACGAAGACGCUGAAAGAUAACAACGAUAAUUGUGGAAAAAAUUCGAGUUUCCUUUCAUGGAAUGAAAAGUUUUUGUUGAACAUGCCAUUGCAUGCAAGGUCAAUUACGUUUGAGGUGCAAUGCAAGAAGUUUAAAAGUGUUCGUCCUAUUGGGGUAGCAAGAAUUGGCGUUUCGGAUUUUCUUAAUGGCACCGUGCCGGAAAAUUGUUCGCAAAUUUUGAGUUAUAAAUUGAGGGAUUGGGAAGGGAGGCAAAAUGGGGUUAUUCAUUUUAGUGUGAGGGUGGUUGUGCCGGAGGAAAGAUCGGUUACCGUGGCGGAGAAGCAAACGGUGAUGCAUGGAAAGAAUUGUGGUGGCCGGUUAACUGGAAUGGAUAUUGUUGGUGUCAAGAACUCUAAUGGUGUUGCUAUUGGUUUUCCCUUUUGAUGGAAUUACCCUAACAUUAUUUAAGAUUUGUAUUUUUUACAUUAUUUCAUUUUUUUGCAUGCUUGUUAAAGAUUGAUGAACUCAAUUUUUUAAUGCACAACAUUUACUAUUGUAGUAUAUAUACUUAUCUUAUACAAUCUACCUAAAGUCAUGAGUCUUAAUCCCUUUUUUGUUAGGGCCAUAGAAUACUGUUGUACUAUUUCAUUUCUCAAGUUUUAAUUUCUUGUAAAUAACAACAUUUUUAACAGAGUUACUUAUUUGUUUUCUUUGUAAUUUGUUCUUCAUUGUAUUAUAAUUGAAUUUAACAUCUCGAAAAGAAAAAUUAACGGCUAAUAAAAAGUAGACUAAUAUUCAAUUUAGUCCCUCGCAAUUUGUUCACCACUCAAUUCAGUUGAUCGAAGGUGUGGUGUGAAGCAACUUCAAAGGUGGUUCAUGGUUAUCACUAAUGGGUACUAUACGUUCAAAGACACUCCAAUGUUUAACUCAGUGAGGUUUCAAGGUGAUUUUAAGGGAUUUCUCAAAAUGAGAGUGUGUACCUUAUUUCAGCAUGGAUAUAUCAAUUACGUUGUACCCUUAUGGCUUGGUGGUUGGGCAAUCAUUUAAUCAUAAAUUGGGCUCAAAUAUGCUCCACGCGCAUUAUUUGGAGCAUUGAUGCAUGUAGUUCACAAUUGUAAAUGGAUGCAUGAUGGUCGGAUUUAGGCAAGUGCACCAAAUAAUUUAUCAAGUAAUAAAGUGUAAACAGAGUAUCGUAUUUAUAAGAAUUGUCGUUCUAACUAGCCAAUUUCCAUUACUUAUUUGGGAACCGAAAAUAAUAAAUAAAAUAGUAAAAUAAAAGAUAAAAGGGGUUUUUACAAUUUAGUAUGUUUGCAACAGAGCAGGGCCGUUCCUAUGAAAUAGGAGGCUCGACUCUCAUAGUAAAAUAGACCCUCAGUAAAUUAAAAAUGCAAUUUUUUAAAACUUUUUAAUCCUAAGAGGCAAUUUAAGAGGCAUAAAGGAAGACUAAAAAAAAAUUUAGAACAUAAAAUUUAGGAGGCAUAUAUUAGCAACAUAUACCAAAAUUUGUCAACAUUCAACGUCCAUCAUAUAACAAAAUUAGCAAUUAUAUUUUUCAACCUUCAACAUAUAACAAAAAUUUCGACAUUCAACAUAUAUUAUUAGAACUAUAUAUUUACAACAUUUAACAAAAUUAGCAAUUAUACACUGAAAUUUUAAAAAGUAAUUACUAAUACGCCUUAAGCAACGUAUAACAAAAUUCAUGUAGAUAAGCUUCAUUAAAAAAUCAUAAUCAGAAUAACUACUAAACAUGAAACGAAAUAAAAAAUAUUAAGCGAAAGAGAUGUGUUAAGUGAGAGGAAGAAACUCAAACGUGUAUUUUGGAGGCUUGGUUGAGCUUCUUGCAUAUCCCCAAGACCGUGCCUGCAACAGAGCAAGGGUUUAGGAGUUAACCUGCUUUUGAUUGUAGAAUGUUAGCGGCAGUUAGGAUUCUUCAAAUCCCCUCUAUUUAUUUGUUAGAAUUAGUUAAUGGUCAAACAUUAUUCAUUUUCUUAUGUCUUCUAUAAGUGAUGAGUUCGUGGGAUUUUCGUAGUUUUUUUUUUUUUUUUUUUUUUUAUGAAUUUAGUGUUUAACAUUAUUACGCACAAUUUCCAGACACAUUAAGCUAAGCAAAUAUGUGAGGUGAUGCUUAAACUACCUUUCAAAAAUUAUGGAUCCAUCAAAUCAAUCAAAAUUAACCAAAUGAGUAAGUAUGUAAAUGAUAUACACGAAAUAAUUAACUUUCAUUUUACUUGUAAAUUUGUUUAUGUGAUUAAUGUUGAUUGGUUGAAGUAUAAAUUACCCACAAUAUGUAAAUGUAAUAUAGAAAAACUAAUAGUACAUAACAUCGUACUACGUAAUAUGAUAUUAAAAAGUUUAGACGAAUUGAAUCUUGAAGCUCAUUAGAAUUAGGACAAAUCUAAUGGUUUAAGAACACUUACAAAUAUACUUAAUUAGUGAUCCUCCAUAAAAUAAGUCUUCACGUCAACAAUAAAAAUUAAACUCAUAUUCUUGCAGAAUAUGUGCUCAAUUUCUUACCCAUAAAAUCAACUUACAUUCAAAGCGUCUUGAAUCCUUUAUUUAUAGGAUCAAUAUUACAAAAAGUUACAAAUGUCACAAAAGCCAUAAUAAAUGUACACUAUCAUCAGCACUUAUGGGUGUCUUCCAAAAUCAUUGUUAAUUGUAUUUAACUCGUAGACAUCCAUAUACUAUAAUCUUAUGGGUGUUUUCCAAUGCUUGAAAUCUUUUUGACUAAACAGUAGAUGAGAGAAUUAAAGCAUUUUUAAUGACAGAUCCUUCCCUUCCAAUGAUGAACAGACAUGGACAAAGGUUUAUAGGAUAAGAAGGACAUGUUGAUACAACGUGGAGUUGCUCUUUGAUGAGAGGGAGCCAGUGAUGUUUUCUCACACGUAAAGUAAGCAUAAUAUUGUCAUACUCAUGACUACUUCAACCACUAUUUUCAUCUAACGAUUCAAAUUCAAACAACUAAUUAUUUGCUAUAGUCUACUCCCUCAUUUCAAAAUAAUACUCCCUUUCGUUUUAUUUACAAGAGAAAGUUGACUUUUUAGAUACAUCGAAUAAUAUAUAUAUUUAGUCAAGAACUUAAACCAAAUACAUAAAUUAUUUAAUGUAUCUAAAAAGUAAAUUGUCUCUUGUAAAUAGGACCGGAGGGAAUAUUAUUUAAAAUAUUCAUACAAUAUUAAAAAAUGCAAUGAUAAAUAUAUAUAUAUAUAUAUAUAUAUAUAUAUAUAUACAUAUAUAUAUCUUUAUCAAAUUAUUCUUAUUAACUAUUAAUUUUUUUCCCCUAAAAAAAAUAAAUGGUCGGUCUUUCCAUAUAAUUUCAUUUCAUCUAAAAAAUACUUACAAAAUCAAUCAAAUAACGUCUUCAGCAUCCUCCUGAGCGUAGCUCAAUUGACAAAAACAUGCAUUGUUAUAUGUCAGACUCCUCAUUUAUUCACCUUACAAAAUGUAAAUUCUACCCACUGGACUAUUUAACAAAAAAAAAAUAGCUUCAUCAGCUUAGCAUGAAAACGGUGGAAAUUCAUUAAUAAAAAAAGUUGGAAAUGCAGCCGUAAAUUAAAGAGCAAUACAAAGGCAAAGUUAUAAGUCAAAACCAACAAAAACGGACAUUGCUUUUCCAAAUCAUAAUUCAAAUACAUUGAACCAACCAACCAAUUACACUCUUUCUUUCUUCCCCUCUUUCUCACCGGUCACCUACCAAAUCAAGAUCCCAAAACUUAUUAUAUAUUCACACAACCACCUCAAUUCCAUCACUACAAAAUUGAAGGACAUAACAAUAUAUUCAUUCUUACACUAAUACAUAUUUUCGUGCACUAAGUUUUCUACCAUGGUUGUGGCUUCACAAACAUUAGAAAUUACGAUUAUAUCUGGAGAAAAUAUUCAUGUAACAGAGGAUGCAUACGUUGUUGUUCGAGGUGAGUCUCUUAAUUGU